RNAcentral lists this ribosomal RNA (595 nucleotides) under uncultured beta proteobacterium. Its description in RNAcentral is "bacterial SSU rRNA". It matches the Rfam family "Bacterial small subunit ribosomal RNA", at positions 19 to 607 of the family's 1533-position model. The record is from RNAcentral. Lineage: Bacteria; Pseudomonadati; Pseudomonadota; Betaproteobacteria.
CUGGCUCAGAUUGAACGCUGGCGGAAUGCUUUACACAUGCAAGUCGAACGGCAGCACGGGAGCUUGCUCCUGGUGGCGAGUGGCGAACGGGUGAGUAAUAUAUCGGAACGUAUCCAAUAAUGGGGGAUAACUAGUCGAAAGAUUAGCUAAUACCGCAUACGCCCUGAGGGGGAAAGCUGGGGAUCUUCGGACCUAGCGUUAAUGGAGCGGCCGAUAUCUGAUUAGCUAGUAGGUGAGGUAAGAGCUCACCUAGGCGACGAUCAGUAGCUGGCCUGAGAGGACGACCAGCCACACUGGAACUGAGACACGGUCCAGACUCCUACGGGAGGCAGCAGUGGGGAAUUUUGGACAAUGGGCGCAAGCCUGAUCCAGCCAUUCCGCGUGAGUGAAGAAGGCCUUCGGGUUGUAAAGCUCUUUCGCAAGGGAAGAAAACUUAACCUCUAACAUAGGUUGAGGCUGACGGUACCUUGAUAAGAAGCACCGGCUAACUACGUGCCAGCAGCCGCGGUAAUACGUAGGGUGCGAGCGUUAAUCGGAAUUACUGGGCGUAAAGCGUGCGCAGGCGGCCUGAUAAGUCAGAUGUGAAAUCCCCGAG